GGGGGCGACAAGGCUUCGACGGCGGUUGCGAAGUCAUCAGGUGCAUGCCGAGAGGGUAGUGACUCUCGUUAAUCAAUCGCUGCAACUUUUUAUAGUUGCCAACGACGAAAACUACGCACUAGCAGCGUAAGCUGC
This 135-nucleotide transfer-messenger RNA is filed under the name Gammaproteobacteria bacterium. RNAcentral describes it as "partial transfer-messenger RNA". It matches the Rfam family "transfer-messenger RNA", at positions 1 to 136 of the family's 374-position model. Rfam says of the family: Bacterial tmRNA, also known as 10Sa RNA or SsrA, is named for its dual tRNA and mRNA-like properties. Its role is to liberate the mRNA from a stalled ribosome. Lineage: Bacteria; Pseudomonadati; Pseudomonadota; Gammaproteobacteria. The record is from RNAcentral.